This 466-nucleotide ribosomal RNA is filed under the name uncultured bacterium. Its description in RNAcentral is "bacterial SSU rRNA". It matches the Rfam family "Bacterial small subunit ribosomal RNA", at positions 917 to 1382 of the family's 1533-position model. The record is from RNAcentral.
GGACCCGCACAAGCGGUGGAGCAUGUGGUUCAAUUCGAUGCAACGCGAAGAACCUUACCUGGCCUUGACAUCCUCGGAACUUGGCAGAGAUGCCUUGGUGCCUUCGGGAACCGAGAGACAGGUGCUGCAUGGCUGUCGUCAGCUCGUGUCGUGAGAUGUUGGGUUAAGUCCCGCAACGAGCGCAACCCUUGUCCUUAGUUGCCAGCACUUCGGGUGGGCACUCUAAGGAGACCGCCGGUGACAAACCGGAGGAAGGUGGGGAUGACGUCAAGUCAUCAUGGCCUUUAUGGCCAGGGCUACACACGUGCUACAAUGGCCGGUACAGAGGGCAGCCAACCCGCGAGGGGGAGCUAAUCCCACAAAGCCGGUCGUAGUCCGGAUCGGAGUCUGCAACUCGACUCCGUGAAGUCGGAAUCGCUAGUAAUCGCGAAUCAGCAUUGUCGCGGUGAAUACGUUCCCGGGUCUU